RNAcentral lists this ribosomal RNA (519 nucleotides) under Korotnevella stella. Its description in RNAcentral is "bacterial SSU rRNA". It matches the Rfam family "Eukaryotic small subunit ribosomal RNA", at positions 1214 to 1677 of the family's 1831-position model. The record is from RNAcentral. Lineage: Eukaryota; Discosea; Flabellinia; Dactylopodida; Paramoebidae.
CUUACCAGGUCCAGACACAGUUAGGAUUGACAGAUUGAGAGCUCUUUCUUGAUUCUGUGGGUGGUGGUGCAUGGCCGUUCUUAGUUGGUGGAGUGAUUUGUCUGGUUAAUUCCGAUAACGAACGAGACCUCAGUUUAUUAAUUAAAUAAAAGAAUAUAAGCGAUAUAAGGGUUAAAGGGAAAGAGAAUUAUAUUUAUAUAGUUUUCCUCUCUUUAAAACUUGUUUAUAUUUAUUUUUAUUUUCUUAAAAAGACACUUGGUGUUUAACCAAGGGAAGUUUGAGGCAAUAACAGGUCUGUGAUGCCCUUUAGAUGUUCUGGGCCGCACGCGCGCUACACUGAUAAAAUCAAUAAGUUUAACUUUAUUGAACCUUAAUAGAAAUAUUUGGGUAAACUUUGAAAAUUUUAUCGUGCUGGGGAUUGACAAUUGUAAUUAUUUGUCAUCAACGAGGAAUUCCUAGUAAACGUAAGUCAUCAGCUUACGUUGAUUACGUCCCUGCCCUUUGUACACACCGCCCGUC